RNAcentral lists this unclassified non-coding RNA (249 nucleotides) under plant metagenome. RNAcentral's name for it is "partial contains small subunit ribosomal RNA, internal transcribed spacer 1, and 5.8S ribosomal RNA". The stretch from base 201 to 249 matches the Rfam family "5.8S ribosomal RNA", at positions 1 to 49 of the family's 154-position model. The record is from RNAcentral.
UCUCCGUAGGUGAACCUGCGGAGGGAUCAUUACAGAGUUCAUGCCCUACCGGGUAGAUCUCCCACCCUAUGUUAUUAUUACUUUGUUGCUUUGGCGGGCCGUUAGGCUCCGGCCCGACUACCGGCCCCGGCUGGUAAGCGCCCGCCAGAGGACCCAAAACCCUGAAUAUUAGUGUCGUCUGAGUACUAUAUAAUAGUUAAAACUUUCAACAGCGGAUCUCUUGGUUCUGGUAUCGAUGAAGAACGCAGC